Non-coding RNA from Onthophagus taurus, 924 nucleotides. NCBI's taxonomy places the organism in Eukaryota, Metazoa, Arthropoda, Insecta, Coleoptera, Scarabaeidae. The record is from RefSeq and is a predicted model, not a curated record.
CACUUUGACAUUUGACAUGUCAAAUUAAAGAUCAUUGCAACACAAAAAUGCAAUAUUCAAGCUUUUUAAAAUUUCCGGAAGUAUUGAAAUGCACUUUAGACCGAUAAGUCAGUACCUAGUCAAAAGGAAUUUGAGCAAAUCGGUUUUAAAACAUCAAAGCCGAACUGCGGGAAUUAUAAUUAUUGGAGAUGAAAUUCUUAAAGGAGAGGUAACUGACACUAAUUCUACAUAUCUAGUCAAACAGCUUUACCAACUUGGUGUUCGUGUUAGAAAGUUGUAAGUGAUGAUAUAAAACAGAUAAGUGAAGAAGUUCGAUCAUUUUCGGAUAAUUACACCUAUGUUAUAACAUCGGGAGGAAUAGGACCAACACAUGAUGAUGUUACAUUUGAGGCUAUUGGAUACGCUUUUAGAGAACCUUUAAUUGCACAUCCAAUUCUAGUUGAUAUUUGUAGUAAAUAUUAUGGUACAAAGGAUUUGGAUAGUCCAGGAAUGAAAUUAGCACAUAUUCCAAAAGGUGCUAAAUUAAUGUUUGGGGAAGCAAAAACUUCAUAUCCAAAUAUAUCAGUUAAAAAUGUGUACAUUUUUCCUGGUAUUCCACAAUUACUAAGGAAACUAUUCGAACAAAUUGGACAUAAAAUUUUCACAUCACACGAAAAGUUUUAUACAAAAGCUAUUUAUUUUAAUGUUACUGAAAAAUUAAUUGUAGAUGUUUUAAACAUUUUAGUGAAGAAAUUUCCAACUGUUAUAUUUGGCUCCUAUCCAGAACUUGAAAACAGCCAAUAUAAAGUGAAAAUAACAAUGGAAUGUACAAAUGAAGAAAAGCUUCAAAUUGCCUAUAACACAAUGAUUAAUAUGAUGCCCUCAGAGUAUAUCGUGAAUGCUUGAUUUUAUUAAAAUACAACAAUAAACUUAUAUAUCCAAUAA